GUGUGGGGGCGACACAGACAGCCAGGAGGUUGGCUUAGAAGCAGCCAUCCUUUAAAGAAAGCGUAAUAGCUCACUGGUCAAGUGAACCUGCGCCGAAAAUGUAACGGGGCUCAAGUGUAUUACCGAAGCUGCGGAUGGCACUCAGGACUGCGGUCCUGAGGUCGUGGUAGGCGAGCAUUCCAUGGGCGGCGAAGUCCGACGGGAACGACGGAUGGAGCGCAUGGAAGAGCUUAUGCAGGCUUGAGUAGCGAUAAAACAGGUGAAAAACCUGUUCGCCGUAAGCCCAAGGGUUCCUGGGUCAAGUUCAUCUUCCCAGGGGUUAGUCGGUCCCUAAGGCGAGGCCGAAAGGCGUAGCUGAUGGGAAGCAGGUUAAUAUUCCUGCACCGCCUUGGACAGUUUCCAUAGGGGGGACGGAGAAACGUAGCCGAGCCGGGUAAUGGAUACCGGUUCAAACCUGUAGGGGAGUCACGCUAGGAGGCCUAGUGCCACAAACGGCGUGACAAUCCUGAGAGGUGAUGAGGAG
This 523-nucleotide ribosomal RNA is filed under the name uncultured bacterium. Its description in RNAcentral is "bacterial LSU rRNA". It matches the Rfam family "Bacterial large subunit ribosomal RNA", at positions 1073 to 1573 of the family's 2925-position model. The record is from RNAcentral.